Gallus gallus (chicken) is the source of this 502-nucleotide long non-coding RNA. The record is from Ensembl. NCBI's taxonomy places the organism in Eukaryota, Metazoa, Chordata, Aves, Galliformes, Phasianidae.
CAGCCCCACAACUCAGUCCUCCAGUCCCAUAGUGAGGUCCUCCAGCCCCACAACUAGGUCCUCCAGCCUCAUAGCAAGGUCCUCCAGACCCAAAAGUUGGUCCUCCAGCCCCACAACUCAGUCCUCCAGCCCCACAUCUCAGUCCUCCAGCCCCACUUCCAAGUCCUCCAACCCCACAACUCAGUCCUCCAGCCCCACAUCCAAGUCCUCCAGCCCCCCAACUCAGUCCUCCAGGGGGUGAAAGAACCAAUCAGGGCAGCUGCCCUUAUUUGGGCCGCGGCCCCUUUAAGAAGCGCCGAUCGCACCCAAAGGGGCAAAGAGCGCCGGGCAAAGGGCGCCCCGCCCCAUAGCGACUCGGUCCUCCUGCCCCACAACUAGGUCCUCCAGCCCCACAAGUAGGUCCUCCUGACCCACAGCGAGGUCCUCCAGCCCCACAGCGAGGUCCUCCAGUGAACAGUGAGGUCCUCCUGCCCCACAACUCGGUCCUCCAGUGAACAGUGAG